RNAcentral lists this ribosomal RNA (487 nucleotides) under uncultured bacterium. Its description in RNAcentral is "bacterial SSU rRNA". It matches the Rfam family "Bacterial small subunit ribosomal RNA", at positions 28 to 508 of the family's 1533-position model. The record is from RNAcentral.
GAUGAACGCUAGCGGCAGGCUUAAUACAUGCAAGUCGUGGGGCAGCGCAGUGUAGCAAUACAUGGGCGGCGACCGGCAAACGGGUGCGGAACACGUACGCAACCUUCCUUUAAGUGGUGAAUAGCUUUCGGAAACGAAAAUUAAUACACCGUAACAUUAUGAAGUGGCAUCAUUUUAUAAUUAUAGCUCCGGCGCUUAAAGAUGGGCGUGCGCCUGAUUAGGUAGUUGGCGGGGUAACGGCCCACCAAGCCUGCGAUCAGUAACUGGUGUGAGAGCACGACCAGUCACACGGGCACUGAGACACGGGCCCGACUCCUACGGGAGGCAGCAGUAAGGAAUAUUGGUCAAUGGACGCAAGUCUGAACCAGCCAUGCCGCGUGGAGGAUGAAGGUCCUCUGGAUUGUAAACUUCUUUUAUUUGGGAAGAAACCCACGAUUUCUAUUGUGGUUGACGGUACCAGAUGAAUAAGCACCGGCUAACUCCGUGC